Molecule: ribosomal RNA, 443 nt
Filed under: uncultured bacterium
Lineage: Bacteria
Description: partial 16S ribosomal RNA
Rfam family: Bacterial small subunit ribosomal RNA
Source: RNAcentral
CCUACGGGAGGCAGCAGUGGGGAAUAUUGGGCAAUGGGCGCAAGCCUGACCCAGCAACGCCGCGUGAAGGAAGAAGGCUUUCGGGUUGUAAACUUCUUUUGUCAGGGACGUAGCAAGUGACGGUACCUGACGUUUAAGCCACGGCUAACUACGUGCCAGCAGCAGCGGUAAUACGUAGGUGGCAAUCGUUAUCCGGAUUUACUGGGUGUAAAGGUCGAGUAGGGGGGGAAGCAAGUCAGAUGUGAAAACCACGGGCUCAACCUGUGGCCUGCAUUUGAAACUGUUUUUCUUGAGUGCUGGAGAGGCAAGCGGAAUUCGGGGUGUAGCGGUGAAAUGCGUAGAUAUAACGAAGAACACCGAUGGCGAAGGCAGAUUGCUAGACAGUAACUGACGCUGAGGCGCGAAAGCGUGGGGAGUAAACAGGAUUAGAUACCCUUGUAGUC